This 491-nucleotide ribosomal RNA is filed under the name uncultured bacterium. Its description in RNAcentral is "partial 16S ribosomal RNA". It matches the Rfam family "Bacterial small subunit ribosomal RNA", at positions 29 to 507 of the family's 1533-position model. The record is from RNAcentral.
GUGAACGCUGGCGGUAGGCCUAACACAUGCAAGUCGAACGGCAGCACAGUAAGAGCUUGCUCUUACGGGUGGCGAGUGGCGGACGGGUGAGGAAUACAUCGGAAUCUACUUUUUCGUGGGGGAUAACGUAGGGAAACUUACGCUAAUACCGCAUACGACCUACGGGUGAAAGCAGGGGAUCUUCGGACCUUGCGCGAUUGAAUGAGCCGAUGUCGGAUUAGCUAGUUGGCGGGGUAAAGGCCCACCAAGGCGACGAUCCGUAGCUGGUCUGAGAGGAUGAUCAGCCACACUGGAACUGAGACACGGUCCAGACUCCUACGGGAGGCAGCAGUGGGGAAUAUUGGACAAAGGGCGCAAGCCUGAUCCAGCCAUACCGCGUGGGUGAAGAAGGCCUUCGGGUUGUGAAGCCCUUUUGUUGGGAAAGAAAAGCAGCAGGUUAAUACCCCGCUGUUCUGACGGUACCCAAAGAAUAAGCACCGGCUAACUUCGUG